Molecule: long non-coding RNA, 726 nt
Filed under: Triticum aestivum (bread wheat)
Lineage: Eukaryota; Viridiplantae; Streptophyta; Magnoliopsida; Poales; Poaceae
Description: long non-coding RNA (TAES_LNC013602)
Source: RNAcentral
GCCCUGGUGUUUGAAAUUCAUUCCCAUUUCUUGCAUGGGACCUAAGCAUGCACCCAAGGAGACAGCUUUGAUUUUUCAACCAAUUUAUAUGCACUGGGGCAUGCACAUGUAGUUCAAAUUUGAAUUAUGCACAUAAAUGCAUUGAAAACUCAGUUAAUGCAUAAAAAUGUCCAAACGAACCCCGAAAAAUCACAAAAAUUCACACAACACUCCUGUUGUUCUAUGUUGGCACGAGAAAAAAACUUGAAAGCAAUAAGAGGCAAUGGAUAUCGUUUCGUCCCCAAAGGUGGGACGUUCCCUACCGAAAACCAUCAUGCUUGUUGUGAGAAGCUCCGGUUUGUGAGAAGUAUAUACCCAAACCUGCCCCAAAUGGGACAAAAUUUGUACCACGGCAUGUUGAUGCCGCUCCAUGAUAGCAUGCCAAGUUUCGUGAAUUUCAGAUGAGUUUUGGAUUUACUAGAAUUUAAAAACCAGGCAUCUCAAUGUUUUGCCGGCAAUCAACAGUACCCUGGUGUUUGAAAUUCAUUCCAAUUUCUUGCAUGAGACCUAAGCAUGCACCCAAGGACACAACUUUGAUUUUUCAACCAAUUUAUAUGCACUGGAGCAUGCGCAUGUAGUUCAAAUUUGAAUUAUGCACAUAAAUGCAUUGAAAACUCAGUUAAUGCAUAAAAAUGUCCAAACGAACCCCGAAAAAUCACAAAAAUUCACACAACACUCUUGUUGUUC